Molecule: long non-coding RNA, 246 nt
Filed under: Elaeis guineensis (African oil palm)
Lineage: Eukaryota; Viridiplantae; Streptophyta; Magnoliopsida; Arecales; Arecaceae
Description: long non-coding RNA (EGUI_LNC048092)
Source: RNAcentral
CUACUAAGGAAGCCUUCUAGCUCAAGAAGUUUAUUACAGUGCUGGGCCAUCGGAUCCAUACUAUUCUAUUACAACAACAAUGGUGCCAUAGUUCUGACUAAGGAACCUAGGUCUCACUAAAGGUCCAAACACAUAGAGCAAUGAUUCUACCUAUUUUGAUAGUACCUUGAAAGAAAGUACAUUGAGGUGCAGAGAGUAGACUCUAUGGAUAAUAUGACAGACCCACUGACUGAGCCACUGAGCUAG